This 301-nucleotide ribosomal RNA is filed under the name uncultured bacterium. RNAcentral's name for it is "partial 16S ribosomal RNA". It matches the Rfam family "Bacterial small subunit ribosomal RNA", at positions 509 to 807 of the family's 1533-position model. The record is from RNAcentral.
CAGUCGCCGCGGUAAUACGAAGGGGGCUAGCGUUGUUCGGAAUUACUGGGCAUAAAGCGCACGUAGGCGGAUAUUUAAGUCAGGGGUGAAAUCCCAGAGCUCAACUCUGGAACUGCCUUUGAUACUGGGUAUCUUGAGUAUGGAAGAGGUGAGUGGAAUUCCGAGUGUAGAGGUGAAAUUCGUAGAUAUUCGGAGGAACACCAGUGGCGAAGGCGGCUCACUGGUCCAUUACUGACGCUGAGGUGCGAAAGCGUGGGGAGCAAACAGGAUUAGAGACCCCAGUAGUCCCUGUCUCUUAUAC